This 467-nucleotide long non-coding RNA is filed under the name Neodiprion lecontei (redheaded pine sawfly). RNAcentral's name for it is "uncharacterized LOC124294921". The record is from RNAcentral. Lineage: Eukaryota; Metazoa; Arthropoda; Insecta; Hymenoptera; Diprionidae.
GUGGUUGGCGGUGGUUGGAGGUGGUCGGAGGUGGUCGGAGGUGGACGAGGAGGAGGACGAGGAAGAUGAGGAGAACGAGGAUUUCUGCAUGGUAUAACCCAAGGUGGUUAUCGAUGGUUACUGGAGGUGGUUGGCGGUGGCUGGAGGUGUUCGGAGGUGGACGAGGAGGAGAACGAGGAAGACGAGGAAACCAAGGUGGACGAGGAUGAUGAGGAUUUGUGCACUGUAUAACCCGAGGUGGUUGGCGGUGGUUGGCGGUGGUCGAGCUGGACGAGGUGGAGGACGAGGAUUCGUGCUCGGUGAGUUUAACAUUUUGACAAUAUUUGAUGAAGUAGAAUCAGCAUCAGGAGUAGGAUCAGGGGAAGAUGUAGAAAUAGGAGUAGAAGUAGGAGUAGUGGUAGGAAUAGGACUUGGAGUAAGAAUAUGAGUAGAAGUAGGAAUAGUAGGAGUUGGAGUGGGAUUAGGAG